CACACACUUCUACGUCACUGUAUCAGCUGGGAGAGAAACCUGCAACAUAAACUAUGAAUAUUUAUUAUUGCAACUAUGGAAUGGAAUGAUGGAGAGCAGGGGGCAUGUGGGAAAUAUAGUAAAUGUUUGUUUGGGGGGGGGGGGAUUGUUGUAAAAAUGUAUUUACCGAAAGCUGUCAAAUAGAUUCAGAACGAUUCGCCAGCACCAUUAAAACAGAUCUUUUUUGCUCCCCGUUGAACGUCCCCUGUACAUUGACCGAGUUGAGGAAUUUUCCAGAACUGCCUGUUAUUCUCGGUGCUGCGAAUACAAAAGGGCUUCCUCGCGCACAGUCCGUAUCACCGGAAGGAGCACGGGGAUAAAGCUUGCUGUGCUUUCACUGCCAUGUUUCUGAGAAGACCCGUGUGUCACACCUGAAGUUUGGAGACCUACACGGCCAACCGUCCUGCCAGCGCUUGUUUGACCUCCGCAAAUUGUCGAGAUAUUUCUGCGGCAGAUGGUCUUCUCCCCCCACCUGCGGUCCACUUCCAGAUUCCAGAUUUCCUCUCCCGGCUCCCUCCGCGGCCUCCGCCACGUGUAGCAGACUGCGUUUCACCUUCAGACAUCUGGCCAGCACGCCCGGAACAGAGUGGAGGGGAAAGGAGAGGCCCACACAAGCCACCUGCCCUGGGGACUGUUGCUGUUACACGCAGCACAUGUAAAGAUAAUAGCAUUUUUGCAUCUUUUAUUGCGCCCUGGGUGCAGUAGCAGCCUGUAGCCAGCGCAGGCUGAGGAUGUCUGCCAGAUAAUUAAAUAAUAGUGAUGACAAUGACAACAGGAGUAGUAAUAACAUUAUCGUGAUCAUGCUUUGUGCAUGUACAUGCAAUAGAUUAUCUAGUUAGCAGAGGGUACUAGCGGAGCGGGCUGUUUCCAAAUGACUAGCAAGUAACUAGUGGUGCCCAAAAACCUUCAGGUGAAAUAUGUCCAGAGUUACAAGCGUCAUUUUGAGAAGCCGUAACCACACUGUGAGUUUCUGCUGUCUGAGGGCUGAAGCUAAGCAGCUCCUGGCCUUGGUUAAUGUUUGGAUUUGGAUUGGAGACCAGAUGGAAAAAUCAGAGUUGCUGCUUUGCCGGAUGUGGCGUUCCUGGGCCAGUAGAGGGCGCUCUUUUCCCUGGCUCGAGCGGAAGGACCGACGCAGCGAGGGAGACACUCCGUAGGAGACGUCGCCUUUGUGUCAGACGCAACAUUAAACUGAGGUCUUGACUUACGGGGUGUUGUUAAAGACCCUGUGGUGCUUUCAGAACACAGUGGAAGGGGUUCCUUGGUGUCCCAGCCAAAUUUCCAACCUGGCUCUAUUAAUCUGGGCACCUGAGUAUUCUCUAAGUUAAUUGGGGUGAAUAGCUUCCGUGCGCCCCGCAGGUGGACGCGGAACAUUUGUGAUGUUUGAGGUGACCUUCCCCCCGUCACUGUUAAAGCACUCUGCGAUUAUGAAA
This is a long non-coding RNA of Anguilla rostrata (American eel), 1469 nucleotides long. RefSeq lists it as uncharacterized. Lineage: Eukaryota; Metazoa; Chordata; Actinopteri; Anguilliformes; Anguillidae. The record is from RefSeq and is a predicted model, not a curated record. The transcript has 2 exons.